Long non-coding RNA from Diprion similis, 1352 nucleotides. RefSeq lists it as uncharacterized. NCBI's taxonomy places the organism in Eukaryota, Metazoa, Arthropoda, Insecta, Hymenoptera, Diprionidae. The record is from RefSeq and is a predicted model, not a curated record. The transcript has 4 exons.
GUUCGAAGUCCCUGCGUAACCACAUUUACAAAGCUGAAUAUGCGCGGCUUAGGCCCAGUGAAGUGAACAAAUAAUACGGGACAACUUUUCUGACAAUAAGUAACUGCUCUUCCGGUCGGUUGAAUGUGACGUGAAUACUCUCAUAAACACUUGUCGCAGGGGUUGCGGCUUGACGGUCAUGUAAAUAAAUAUGGCUGCCAGUCGAUGCUCGGUUCUGGCAGAGCGUCGAGUAGUUCGCGCGUAUCGGUGCCUCGUUUUCUCCGAUUAUUAAGGAAAAACGAUGACGACUGUGACGUUACAAGUUCCAAAAUUGAAGUUGAAGUCGGAGUUGACGUGUUGGUGCAGUGAAAAGUGAAAAGGCAAGUGUUACGUGAGAAUUGAGUGAAUUCAAGAAACGGUGUCCCAAAUUGCGUGCCAGGAUGAUGUUGCUGUUCCGUUCCGCUGCAAUGGAGAUAACAACGAGAUGUAGGAAGUAACGGAGAGCAGGGAAUCUGCAUGCAUCCGUCGAAUGAAUCGGGCCAUCAAUUACGACAGCGGUUACACAUCUUCCUCAACUGUAUCUGGUCACCCGCUAAGAGGAAUCUAGGAAGUCGGGAUGAGCGGAUAUUCAAUUAGCCGGCACUCCAUUUGAAAAAAACCACGACGGAAAACUCCGAUCAUUCCAACCCGCAUCCUCAAUCUCACGGAGCGGUUUGAACUAUGGUCAAAGAAUUCUCGGCAGCGGGGUUAAAGAGUCGGAUAUCCUCUUCAUCCUUUGAUUCGUCUGGUGUAAAGCGGGAAGCCGAAUGAUUCGCUCCCCAUUCGAAACACGAUUCAACCCAAUUACCGGCCGUGGAACCGGCGUGAUUAAAUUCAUGUUUCAGAGACAAAGCUGGAUGCUAAACAAAGCUUCUAUUCUAGUUAUUCUACUUACGCUGAUUUUCAUCCAUAUAUUUGUAACAUAAAAGCCACCAUUACUCAGAUGCAACAUCGUUUGCUUACGGUUUGUUGACGUGCAGUAGUUCUGCAGUUUCGAUAAUUAAUUCGCCACUGCAAUGCCGGAACGCUUACAAAGAUUGCAGGACAUCUUACGUGAGUGCCUGUAUCGGUUUUAUUUCAGCACUAAUUCUCCUAUCGUUAAAGACGUCUGAAAUAUCAUUAGGAAGAAAGUAAUGACAACUCGAAUUGAUGACAUUGUUUUGUAAACCACUACUUUCAUCUAUCAUCAAAUUAUUAGUAAGCUGCAUGUACAAAUACUACGAGUGAUUCACGCGACAACGGAUAUAAAUAGGACGAAACGCUUCUUACAGUAACACCUGCGCAGGUACAACUAGAACCUUAUCAGUACGUUCUAAAUGAAUGUGUGAAGUACA